This 459-nucleotide ribosomal RNA is filed under the name uncultured bacterium. RNAcentral describes it as "partial 16S ribosomal RNA". It matches the Rfam family "Bacterial small subunit ribosomal RNA", at positions 339 to 795 of the family's 1533-position model. The record is from RNAcentral.
CCACGGGAGGCAGCAGUGAGGAAUAUUGGUCAAUGGGCGCGCGCCUGAACCAGCCAAGUAGCGUGAAGGAUGACUGCCCUACGGGUUGUAAACUUCUUUUAUAAAGGAAUAAAGUUAGGCACGUGUGCCUUUUUGUAUGUACCAUAUGAAUAAGUAUCGGCUAACUCCGUGCCAGCAGCCGCGGUAAUACGGAGGAUCCGGCCGUUAUACGGAUUUAUUGGGUUUAAAGGGAGCGUAGGUGGAUUGUUAAGUCAGUUGUGAAAGUUUGCGGCUCAACCGUAAAAUUGCAGUUGAAACUGGCAGUCUUGAGUACAGUAGAGGUGGGCGGAAUUCGUGGUGUAGCGGUGAAAUGCUUAGAUAUCACGAAGAACUCCGAUUGCGAAGGCAGCUCACUGGACUGCAACUGACACUGAUGCUCGAAAGUGUGGGUAUCAAACAGGAUUAGAUACCCUAGUAGUC